CUCGUCCUCUGUUGCCAGCGAGUUAUGUCGGGGACUCAUAGGAGACUGCCGGGGUCAACUCGGAGGAAGGUGGGGAUGACGUCAAGUCAUCAUGCCCCUUACGUCCUGGGCUGCACACAUGCUACAAUGGCCGGUACAAAGGGCUGGGAUACCGCGAGGUGGAGCGAAUCCCAAAAAGCCGGUCUCAGUUCGGAUCGGGGUCUGCAACUCGACCCCGUGAAGUCGGAGUCGCUAGUAAUCGCAGAUCAGCAAUGCUGCGGUGAAUACGUUCCCGGGCCUUGUACACACCGCCCGUCACGUCACGAAAGUCGGUAACACCCGAAGCCGGUGGCCUAACCCUUGUGGGAGGAGCCGUCGAAGGUGGGACCGGCGAUUGGGACGAAGUCGUAACAAGGUAGCCGUACCGGAAGGUGCGGCUGGAUCACCUCCUUUCUAAGGAGCGUCUGGCUGGUCUCUCCUGUUGGGGGGUGGGCUGGUCCAGGGCCAGGGCCGGAUGUGUGUCCCGGUCUGGUUGCUCAUGGGUGGAACACUAACGUUGCGGUCUGCCGGUUCUGCCGGUCUCCUAGUACAACUGCCUUAGGGUGGUGGGAACGGGGGCUGGUGGGGUGCGGGGCCUUCUGGCACGCUGUUGGGUCCUGAGGGAGUGAGCGAUCGUUUCUUCGGUGACUACGGAGCCUUCUGACCCUUGUGGGGUCGGGGGGCUUCGGUCGCGGUCGGACGCUUAACGCCGCGGUCCUGCCAGGGCGUCUGCUUCCCGUGUGGGGGUGGGUUCUGCCGGGUCGCCUGGGGCCGUCCGUACGUUGAGAACUGCACAGUGGACGCGAGCAUCUUUGUGGCCAAGUUAGUAAGGGCGC
This 854-nucleotide small RNA is filed under the name Frankia sp. BMG5.40. RNAcentral's name for it is "bacterial SSU rRNA". The stretch from base 1 to 432 matches the Rfam family "Bacterial small subunit ribosomal RNA", at positions 1104 to 1533 of the family's 1533-position model. Lineage: Bacteria; Bacillati; Actinomycetota; Actinomycetes; Frankiales; Frankiaceae. The record is from RNAcentral.